Spea bombifrons (plains spadefoot toad) is the source of this 284-nucleotide long non-coding RNA. RefSeq lists it as uncharacterized. The record is from RefSeq and is a predicted model, not a curated record. The transcript has 3 exons. NCBI's taxonomy places the organism in Eukaryota, Metazoa, Chordata, Amphibia, Anura, Pelobatidae.
UAAAGUGGCCAGAUCCGCAUGAUUAUUCCUCUCCAUUACGUUAUCUCAUCCCUAUCGGGAGACAUGAUUCAUGGAGAAGCGGAGAAAGAAGUAAUGGAAUGAAGUGGAUGAAGAAAGACAGAAGGACAAGAAGAGGCAAGAAAAGAAGCAGAGUUACGAGAAAAGAGACAAGGCCCACGGAAGCAGAGAAAGAGCGAACAGUUAUGAGAGUGUGAAUGAGUGUGACACUGGAUUUAAUUCUGAAUUUAAAAAAGCCAUCCAAGUUCCUCUGAAACAAAAGGGCA